CCUACGGGCGGCUGCAGUGGGGAAUCUUGCGCAAUGGGCGAAAGCCUGACGCAGCGACGCCGCGUGGGUGACGAAGGCCUUCGGGUCGUAAAACCCUGUUGCAGGGGACGAAGGAAGUGACGGUACCCUGCCAGAAAGCCCCGGCUAACUACGUGCCAGCAGCCGCGGUAAAACGUAGGGGGCGAGCGUUGUCCGGAAUUACUGGGCGUAAAGGGCUCGUAGGCGGUAACUCAAGUCAGUUGUGAAAACCGACGGCUUAACCGGAGGAUUGCAGUUGAUACUGGGUUACUUGAGGCAAGGAGAGGAAGGUGGAAUUCCCGGUGUAGCGGUGAAAUGCGUAGAUAUCAGGAGGAACACCGGUGGCGAAGGCGGCUUUCUGGACUGACCCUGACGCUGAGACGCGAAAGCGUGGGGAGCAAACAGGAUUAGAUACCCCUGUAGUC
Molecule: ribosomal RNA, 443 nt
Filed under: uncultured Syntrophaceticus sp.
Lineage: Bacteria; Bacillati; Bacillota; Clostridia; Thermoanaerobacterales; Thermoanaerobacterales Family III. Incertae Sedis
Description: bacterial SSU rRNA
Rfam family: Bacterial small subunit ribosomal RNA
Source: RNAcentral